UCCUUUGUUGCCAGCGCGUGAUGGCGGGAACUCAAAGGAGACUGCCGGUGAUAAACCGGAGGAAGGUGGGGAUGACGUCAAGUCAUCAUGGCCCUUACGAGUAGGGCUACACACGUGCUACAAUGGCGUAUACAAAGGGAAGCGACCCUGCGAAGGCAAGCGGAACUCAUAAAGUACGUCGUAGUCCGGAUUGGAGUCUGCAACUCGACUCCAUGAAGUCGGAAUCGCUAGUAAUCGUAGAUCAGAAUGCUACGGUGAAUACGUUCCCGGGCCUUGUACACACCGCCCGUCACACCAUGGGAGUGGGUUGCAAAAGAAGUAGGUAGCUUAACCUCCGGGAGGGCGCUUACCACUUUGUGAUUCAUGACUGGGGUGAAGUCGUAACAAGGUAACCGUAGGGGAACCUGCGGUUGGAUCACCUCCUUACCU
This 429-nucleotide ribosomal RNA is filed under the name Morganella morganii. RNAcentral describes it as "bacterial SSU rRNA". It matches the Rfam family "Bacterial small subunit ribosomal RNA", at positions 1108 to 1533 of the family's 1533-position model. Lineage: Bacteria; Pseudomonadati; Pseudomonadota; Gammaproteobacteria; Enterobacterales; Morganellaceae. The record is from RNAcentral.